This 420-nucleotide ribosomal RNA is filed under the name bacterium. Its description in RNAcentral is "partial 16S ribosomal RNA". It matches the Rfam family "Bacterial small subunit ribosomal RNA", at positions 355 to 776 of the family's 1533-position model. The record is from RNAcentral.
UGGGGGAUAUUGCACAAUGGGCGAAAGCCUGAUGCAGCGACGCCGCGUGGGGGAUGAAGGCUUUCGGGUUGUAAACCUCUUUCGCUAUCGAACAAGGCCCGCUUAGGGUGGGUUGAGGGUAGGUGGAGAAGAAGCGCCGGCUAACUACGUGCCAGCAGCCGCGGUAAUACGUAGGGCGCGAGCGUUGUCUGGAAUUACUGGGCGUAAAGGGCUUGUAGGCGGCUUGUUGCGCCUGCUGUGAAAACGCGGGGCUUAACUUCGCGCGUGCAGUGGGUACGGGCAGGCUUGAGUGUGGUAGGGGUGACUGGAGUUCCAGGUGUAGCGGUGGAAUGCGCAGAUAUCUGGAGGAACACCGAUGGCGAAGGCAGGUCACUGGGCCAUUACUGACGCUGAGGAGCGAAAGCAUGGGUAGCGAACAGG